GCUGGCUGGCUGGCUGGCUGGCUGGCAAGUGUUGCUGCUGCUGUCACAGCCUGCGUCAACGCUUACUGCGGCAGUGGCAGCAGCCGCAUCCACAACAGCUUGAAAAGCUGCAGGAUGCACUGCCCACAAAGUGUAUCCUGAUUGCUGCUGUCGCUGUCGCUGCCGCUGCCGCAGUCACUGCAGCAGUUGCCGCUGACUGCGCUGCCACUGCCACUGCCGCUGCCAGCAGCAGUC
Molecule: small RNA, 234 nt
Filed under: Drosophila guanche
Lineage: Eukaryota; Metazoa; Arthropoda; Insecta; Diptera; Drosophilidae
Source: RNAcentral